RNAcentral lists this ribosomal RNA (598 nucleotides) under Ramaria sp. Guevara 1126. RNAcentral's name for it is "eukaryotic LSU rRNA". The stretch from base 225 to 379 matches the Rfam family "5.8S ribosomal RNA". Lineage: Eukaryota; Fungi; Basidiomycota; Agaricomycetes; Gomphales; Gomphaceae. The record is from RNAcentral.
CAUUACAGUAUUUGGCCGACGGGGNGGGCUCUCUCGAUGCUGGCCCCACGAGGGGCAUGUGCGCGCGAGCCCCCUCGUCGUUUCUAAUAUACCCAUCCCUGUGAACCUUAUCGGGAGGCGAGCGCGUCCCGGGGGGCGUGCCUCACACCUCCCUUUUUAUUUUAUAACCGACGCCUGUUUGAAACGCAUGCAGUGAGCCUCACGGGGCGAAUAAAGUUUAAUAUAACUUUCAACAACGGAUCUCUUGGCUUUCGCAUCGAUGAAGGACGCCGCGAAAGUGCGAAACGUAAUGUGAAUUGCAGAAUUCAGUGAAUCAUCGAAUCUUUGAACGCAUCUUGCGCUCCUUGGUAUUCCGAGGAGCAUGCCUGUUUGAGUGUCGUGAAACCUCCCUCGACCCGACUCUCUCCGGAGGGNUUGUGGGUUGGAUUUGGACGCCUGCGGCCCCUUUACCCGGGUCGCUCGUCUUUAAAUGCAUCANCUGGCCUUUCACUUGGGGUCGGACCGACGCGACGGUGUGAUAAUGAACACGUGUGACGCCNUCCUGGACCGACUUUCGAUACGUGGGGUCGCUUCUAACCGUCCCCUCGGGACACGUUAC